RNAcentral lists this ribosomal RNA (3028 nucleotides) under Salmonella enterica. Its description in RNAcentral is "bacterial LSU rRNA". It matches the Rfam family "Bacterial large subunit ribosomal RNA". The record is from RNAcentral. Lineage: Bacteria; Pseudomonadati; Pseudomonadota; Gammaproteobacteria; Enterobacterales; Enterobacteriaceae.
GGGUUGUGAGGUUAAGCGACUAAGCGUACACGGUGGAUGCCCUGGCAGUCAGAGGCGAUGAAGGGCGUGCUAAUCUGCGAUAAGCGCCGGUAAGGUGAUAUGAACCGUUAUAACCGGCGAUACCCGAAUGGGGAAACCCAGUGUGAUUCGUCACACUAUCAUUAACUGAAUCCAUAGGUUAAUGAGGCGAACCGGGGGAACUGAAACAUCUAAGUACCCCGAGGAAAAGAAAUCAACCGAGAUUCCCCCAGUAGCGGCGAGCGAACGGGGAGGAGCCCAGAGCCUGAAUCAGCAUGUGUGUUAGUGGAAGCGUCUGGAAAGGCGCGCGAUACAGGGUGACAGCCCCGUACACAAAAGCGCAUGUGCUGUGAGCUCGAUGAGUAGGGCGGGACACGUGGUAUCCUGUCUGAAUAUGGGGGGACCAUCCUCCAAGGCUAAAUACUCCUGACUGACCGAUAGUGAACCAGUACCGUGAGGGAAAGGCGAAAAGAACCCCGGCGAGGGGAGUGAAAAAGAACCUGAAACCGUGUACGUACAAGCAGUGGGAGCCCCACCACUAAGCCAGUGGUGAACUCCACAUACGCAUCCUUUGCUGAGGAUACGGUUAACGGAGCAAAAGCGACGUUCAACCGCAAAAGAAGCAGAGGGGGCUUAGUGGUGGGGUGACUGCGUACCUUUUGUAUAAUGGGUCAGCGACUUAUAUUCUGUAGCAAGGUUAACCGAAUAGGGGAGCCGGAGGGAAACCGAGUCUUAAUUGGGCGUUAAGUUGCAGGGUAUAGACCCGAAACCCGGUGAUCUAGCCAUGGGCAGGUUGAAGGUUGGGUAACACUAACUGGAGGACCGAACCGACUAAUGUUGAAAAAUUAGCGGAUGACCUGUGGCUGGGGGUGAAAGGCCAAUCAAACCGGGAGAUAGCUGGUUCUCCCCGAAAGCUAUUUAGGUAGCGCCUCGUGAACUCAUCUCCGGGGGUAGAGCACUGUUUCGGCUAGGGGGCCAUCCCGGCUUACCAACCCGAUGCAAACUGCGAAUACCGGAGAAUGUUAUCACGGGAGACACACGGCGGGUGCUAACGUCCGUCGUGAAGAGGGAAACAACCCAGACCGCCAGCUAAGGUCCCAAAGUCAUGGUUAAGUGGGAAACGAUGUGGGAAGGCCCAGACAGCCAGGAUGUUGGCUUAGAAGCAGCCAUCAUUUAAAGAAAGCGUAAUAGCUCACUGGUCGAGUCGGCCUGCGCGGAAGAUGUAACGGGGCUAAACCAUGCACCGAAGCUGCGGCAGCGACACUCAGGUGUUGUUGGGUAGGGGAGCGUUCUGUAAGCCUGUGAAGGUGGCCUGUGAGGGUUGCUGGAGGUAUCAGAAGUGCGAAUGCUGACAUAAGUAACGAUAAAGCGGGUGAAAAGCCCGCUCGCCGGAAGACCAAGGGUUCCUGUCCAACGUUAAUCGGGGCAGGGUGAGUCGACCCCUAAGGCGAGGCCGAAAGGCGUAGUCGAUGGGAAACGGGUUAAUAUUCCCGUACUUGGUGUUACUGCGAAGGGGGGACGGAGAAGGCUAUGUUGGCCGGGCGACGGUUGUCCCGGUUUAAGCGUGUAGGUGUGUGUUCCAGGUAAAUCCGGUUCACUUUAACACUGAGGCGUGACGACGAGGCACUACGGUGCUGAAGCAACAAAUGCCCUGCUUCCAGGAAAAGCCUCUAAGCAUCAGGUAACAUCAAAUCGUACCCCAAACCGACACAGGUGGUCAGGUAGAGAAUACCAAGGCGCUUGAGAGAACUCGGGUGAAGGAACUAGGCAAAAUGGUGCCGUAACUUCGGGAGAAGGCACGCUGACACGUAGGUGAAGUGAUUUACUCAUGGAGCUGAAGUCAGUCGAAGAUACCAGCUGGCUGCAACUGUUUAUUAAAAACACAGCACUGUGCAAACACGAAAGUGGACGUAUACGGUGUGACGCCUGCCCGGUGCCGGAAGGUUAAUUGAUGGGGUCAGCGCAAGCGAAGCUCCUGAUCGAAGCCCCGGUAAACGGCGGCCGUAACUAUAACGGUCCUAAGGUAGCGAAAUUCCUUGUCGGGUAAGUUCCGACCUGCACGAAUGGCGUAAUGAUGGCCAGGCUGUCUCCACCCGAGACUCAGUGAAAUUGAACUCGCUGUGAAGAUGCAGUGUACCCGCGGCAAGACGGAAAGACCCCGUGAACCUUUACUAUAGCUUGACACUGAACAUUGAGCCUUGAUGUGUAGGAUAGGUGGGAGGCUUUGAAGUGUGGACGCCAGUCUGCAUGGAGCCGACCUUGAAAUACCACCCUUUAAUGUUUGAUGUUCUAACGUGGACCCGUUACCCGGGUUGCGGACAGUGUCUGGUGGGUAGUUUGACUGGGGCGGUCUCCUCCUAAAGAGUAACGGAGGAGCACGAAGGUUGGCUAAUCCUGGUCGGACAUCAGGAGGUUAGUGCAAUGGCAUAAGCCAGCUUGACUGCGAGCGUGACGGCGCGAGCAGGUGCGAAAGCAGGUCAUAGUGAUCCGGUGGUUCUGAAUGGAAGGGCCAUCGCUCAACGGAUAAAAGGUACUCCGGGGAUAACAGGCUGAUACCGCCCAAGAGUUCAUAUCGACGGCGGUGUUUGGCACCUCGAUGUCGGCUCAUCACAUCCUGGGGCUGAAGUAGGUCCCAAGGGUAUGGCUGUUCGCCAUUUAAAGUGGUACGCGAGCUGGGUUUAGAACGUCGUGAGACAGUUCGGUCCCUAUCUGCCGUGGGCGCUGGAGAACUGAGGGGGGCUGCUCCUAGUACGAGAGGACCGGAGUGGACGCAUCACUGGUGUUCGGGUUGUCAUGCCAAUGGCACUGCCCGGUAGCUAAAUGCGGAAGAGAUAAGUGCUGAAAGCAUCUAAGCACGAAACUUGCCCCGAGAUGAGUUCUCCCUGAGACUUAGAGUCUCCUGAAGGAACGUUGAAGACGACGACGUUGAUAGGCCGGGUGUGUAAGCGCAGCGAUGCGUUGAGCUAACCGGUACUAAUGAACCGUGAGGCUUAACCUUACAACGCCGAAG